CUUAGUACUCAAUACUCUGAUGAUUUACUAUUAAAUUCUUUAUCUAUCACUGUCAAUCUAUCUAUCACUGUUAAUUUAUACCACUGUUAAUCUAUCUAUCACUGUUAAUUUAUUGCUGCUGCUAAUCUAUCUACUGCUGUCAAUCUAUCUAUUACUAUCAAUUUAUCUACUACUGCUAAUCUAUUGCUGCUAAUUUAUCACUGCUAAUCUAUUGCUGCUAAUCUAUCUAUUACUGUUAAUCUAUUACUAUCAAUCUAUCUAUCACUGUUAAUCUAUCUAUUACUGUCAAUCUAUCUACCACUAUCAAUCUAUCUAUUAUUGUUAAUCUAUCACUGCUAAUCUAUUGCUGCUAAUCUAUUGCUGCUAAUCUAUCUAUUACUAUUAAUCUAUUACUAUCAAUCUAUCUACUGC
RNAcentral lists this small RNA (411 nucleotides) under Histoplasma capsulatum. RNAcentral describes it as "hypothetical RNA". The record is from RNAcentral. Lineage: Eukaryota; Fungi; Ascomycota; Eurotiomycetes; Onygenales; Ajellomycetaceae. RNAcentral also lists the same sequence under 1 other name.